Molecule: long non-coding RNA, 1783 nt
Organism: Metopolophium dirhodum (rose-grain aphid)
Lineage: Eukaryota; Metazoa; Arthropoda; Insecta; Hemiptera; Aphididae
Exons: 3
Source: RefSeq, a predicted model, not a curated record
UGCAAACGCCGCCCACCGCCAUACGCACACGCGGAAACACGACACGCCGCGCUCCGUGACCGUCUGCAGUAGAAUUCAUUUAACAAUUAUUAUUACAAUUCAAUUUUCUGGAAAUCCAUUUUUUUUCACCCUCGGUAAUAUUAUAAUCAAAUAAAAGUCCGUUUUUAAUUUAUAUCAAACGUAAAAUGUUAAUUUGGAUUAUUCUGUUUGUCGGAACUCGUUUUCCCGUGUAUGGAAUUCAAAUUUAAAUAUACCUCAUUAUUUUUAAAAACACAAUUUUAUUUUUUUCAAUUGUGUGAAAGUAAACUGAGUUGACGACACAAAACUGGAACAGCCGAACGUACAUUUUGGUAUGCGUUGGUAUAUAAGAUGGAGACAACGCGCGCGGGUACGACGUCGUCUUAAAAAUUAUUUUCGUACCGAUAAACCCGUGAUGCAUGGGAAUAUUUUCACCAUAGUACCCAACGACGUGUAUCAUGAUGAUAUAUCACAUCGAUCGGCUACUCGUUCAUACGUGUUUGUUUUGUUCGUGGAUGUCCACUCUGCGCCGGCCGAUAUGUGAAUAAGGAACCGACAUGGGCGAAUAAAUAAAAUAACAUACCUCGAAUGCUGAUAGAAAGUAAUUCGUGUAGAAUGUAGAUAUUGGGUAGGUACAUGGAAUAACCAGCGCAACAUAAUUGAUAACUAAAAUCAAAUUAUCAUGGGUUCAUACUUCGUAUUGAUGUUAAGAUAUUGAUGUACAGUUGUGUAGUACAAAUAAACUGUAAUAUUUUAUAGUAUACUAUAAUUUACAAUCGAAAAAAUGAAUAGGUGAAAUAGAGACAUAUGAAAAGACAAUUGCAUACAAGACAUAACUGAGAGCUUUAACAAGUUAACAUUAACAUUUUUACCAAAAAUAUUUUAACAAACAGUUAUAUAUUAUAAAUUAUUAUUGUUAUACAUAAAUAUUGGACGGUCCAUUUAAAGUAACACCCAUUAUUACAAAAACUAUUAACGUUUAAAAAUAUUUUUUUACCUACUUAACUUAAGUUUUAAAAAACAAAAUUGUUCAAAAAAGUUGAUCCACUAUUUCACUUAUAUUAUAAACUUGAAACACUUGAAACUAACGACUUAAAAUAAUUUUUAAAAAAAUAUUCAAAAACGUUGAUAGUUUUUGAUAUAAUAAGUGUCUUAUGUUAUAUGGGUCCCACUACAUACAAUAUCAUAUGAUGUGUAAGAUUUUUAAUCACAAGCUUUGUUAGUCUUAUUGUAUAAUAUAAGCGUCAGACAUUAAAUUGGGUUGCACUGACAAAAAAUCACGCACGAAAUUCGACCCAAAUUUGAGUUAUGGCGUGCAAUUCAAAUGCAGCCAGUACAACAAUAUACGAGUAUAUUAUAGGUAUCAGUGGUGAGUUCUAGUUUUUAUAAUUCGAAUAGUUCAAAUAAUUAUUUUGUAUUUCAUAAUAUAAGUAAAGACACAUAUUAUAGAAUAGAUAUAGUCACCUAAAUGUAUUGAAAUAAUUUGUUAUAAUUAUUAAAUUUAUUUUGAUGGAAAUUUUUUUUUUAUUUUGCAAUGGCAGUGUUUGUAUGGCUGACGUAAACCGUAAUCAAGUCACAAGCGCUUACGCAAGACUAUCUAACACGAACCAUUAAAUGUGUAAUAAUACUGCAGAAAAACGUUUUAAAAUCAGGAUUUAAUUGAAAUUUAAUCAACCACAAAUACUAUUAAAAAAUGUAAAUUAAAAUAUAUUAUUCAUAUUCUGUACUUGUAUCCCACGACCGUAACUUGUCUAAUCAAAGGCCA